Long non-coding RNA from Sus scrofa (pig), 818 nucleotides. RefSeq lists it as uncharacterized. Lineage: Eukaryota; Metazoa; Chordata; Mammalia; Artiodactyla; Suidae. The record is from RefSeq and is a predicted model, not a curated record.
GGAUGUCAGCUGAGCCACGGCACCUGCUGACCUGCCCCGGGGCGGCGGAAAUAGGGGAAAGGGCACUAGAGAGAGAAAGCCAAGGACGUGACCAGGUGACAAAUGGACAAGAAGAGGAAGAAAGACAGAUUCUGCCCAUGUCCACAGGCCCUGGGAUUAGGGCUGCGUGGGGUAGAUGCUCCAGGAGCAGCAAGCCAUGGGGGCUAAGAGAGGGCAGGGAAGAGAAAGUGGAAGGAGCCCUUCUCCUCUCCUGCCAUCCGUCCUCCCUGCUGGAACUUUGACUCCAACACAGAAUGGCCUUUGAAAAAGGAAACACCAGGAGUUCCCUGGUGGCACAGCCAGGUUAAGGAUCCAGUGUUGUCACUGUGGGUUCGAUCCUUGGGCUGGGAACUUCCAUAUACCACAGAAGAAACCAAAAAGAUUAAAAAUAAAUAAAUAAAAUUUUUUUAAAAAGAAAAAGAAAAAGGAAAAACCAAGUUAAUGCCCAAAACAAGAGAGACUGAAAAGUUUUGGAACCAGUUGCAGAUGUCAUCCUAUGACCCAUCAGGAAGGGGGGAGUGACAGAUUACAGCUGCUGCUUUACUCUUCCCUGAUGGCUGAAAAGCAGAAGUGAUGAUGCAAGCUGGAGCAGCCACCUUGGACCACCAGAAGGAAGCCGUGUAUUAAGGAUAUUCUGCCAAUGGGUGGGACAGGGUGGGCCAGGAUCCCUGAGGAUCGUGAAGCCACCGUGCCCACUCUGACUUACCUACCUGGGUUUUUAUAUAAGUGACAAGUAAACUUCUAUCUUCUUUUUUUUUUUUGUCUUUUGUCUUUUUAAG